CGGCUCGGAGCGCUGGGCGCUGGCGACCUUCUGCGUCGCAGACUGCAGAUCCUCGCCGCGCGCGCGGA
Molecule: transfer RNA, 68 nt
Filed under: Sphingomonas paucimobilis
Lineage: Bacteria; Pseudomonadati; Pseudomonadota; Alphaproteobacteria; Sphingomonadales; Sphingomonadaceae
Also listed under: 1 other name
Description: tRNA-Arg(tct)
Source: RNAcentral